AUUAACUGAGCUUAUAAGGUGAUUAAGCAUUUGGCUGCUAACCAAAAGGUUGGGAGUUUGAAUCUACCAGCCACUG
RNAcentral lists this transfer RNA (76 nucleotides) under Loxodonta africana (African savanna elephant). It matches the Rfam family "tRNA". From Rfam's summary of the family: Transfer RNA (tRNA) molecules are approximately 80 nucleotides in length. Their secondary structure includes four short double-helical elements and three loops (D, anti-codon, and T loops). The record is from Rfam by way of RNAcentral. Lineage: Eukaryota; Metazoa; Chordata; Mammalia; Proboscidea; Elephantidae.